This is a long non-coding RNA of Xenopus laevis (African clawed frog), 1005 nucleotides long. RefSeq lists it as uncharacterized. The record is from RefSeq and is a predicted model, not a curated record. NCBI's taxonomy places the organism in Eukaryota, Metazoa, Chordata, Amphibia, Anura, Pipidae. The transcript has 3 exons.
AGAAGGGAUAGAAGAGAGAUCAGAAGACAGAGGAAGACGUUUGCCUGGGACACUCUCAUGAGGGUUGGGAGUAUUAUCUUUGGAGCGGCUGGGAGGAUUAUCUUCAGAUCGGUUUGGUGGAUUAUCUUCAGAGCGGCUGGGAGGAUUAUCUUCAGAGUGCCUGGAUUAUUUUUGGAGCCUUUUGAGGAUUAUCUUUAGAGCACCUGGGAGGAUUAUCUUCAGAGCAGCUGGAUUAUCUUCAGAGCUGCUUUGAGGAUCUUCAGAGUGGCUUGAUUAUCUUCCGAGAGGUUGGAUUAUCUUCAGGUCGGAUGGGAGGAUUACCUUCAGAACGGCUGGGAGGUGUAUCUUCAGGCUAUUGACACGAGUGGAUUUUCAGAGGUUCGCGACGCGUUUUUUUAAAAAAACCUAAGAUUGAAAAUGCUAGCGUAUUUAUGCAGUGGUCGGCUUUUUUUAAAAACUGCACUGAAACUGCGCUGAACAUCCGCACGUGUAUCCAUAGCCUCAGAGCUGCUGGGAGAAUUAUAUUCGAAACGGCUGUGAGGAUUAUUUUCAGAUUGGAUGGGAGGAUUAUCUCCAGAGCGGUUUUGAGGAUUAUCUUCAGAACGGCUGGGAGGAUUAUAUUCAGGUCGGAUGGGAGGAUUUUCUUCAUUGCGACUGAGAGGAUUAUCUUCAUAUGGACUGAGUGAAUUAUCCGCAGUGCAGAUGGGAGGAUCAUCUUCAGAGCAGCUGGGAGGAUCAUCUUCAGAGCGAUUGAGAGGAUUUUUUAAAGAGAAACUGAGAGGAUUAACUUCAAAGCUUCUGGGAGGAUUAUCUUCAGGUUGGAUGGGAGGAUUUUCUUUGUUGUGAUUGAGCGGAUGAUCUUCAUAUGGAUUGAGUGAAUUAUCCGCAGUGCAGAUGGGAGGAUUAUUUCCAGAGCGGUUGUGUGGAUUAUCUUCAUAGCGGCUGGGAGGAUUAUCUUCAGAGUGGCUGUAGAGUACCUGAAAUGACAGACCAUGUGGAGGGGGU